UACGAAGGGGGCUAGCGUUGUUCGGAAUUACUGGGCGUAAAGCGCACGUAGGCGGACAUUUAAGUUGGAGGUGAAAGCCUUGGGCUCAACCCAAGAAUUGCCUUUGAUACUGGAUGUCUCGAGACCGGGAGAGGUGAGUGGAAUUCCGAGUGUAGAGGUGAAAUUCGUAGAUAUUCGCAAGAACACCAGUGGCGAAGGCGGCUCACUGGCCCGGUACUGACGCUGAGGUGCGAAAGCGUGGGGAGCAAACAGG
This 253-nucleotide ribosomal RNA is filed under the name uncultured bacterium. RNAcentral describes it as "partial 16S ribosomal RNA". It matches the Rfam family "Bacterial small subunit ribosomal RNA", at positions 524 to 776 of the family's 1533-position model. The record is from RNAcentral.